RNAcentral lists this transfer RNA (107 nucleotides) under Leucogyrophana mollusca. RNAcentral describes it as "tRNA-Leu". It matches the Rfam family "tRNA". From Rfam's summary of the family: Transfer RNA (tRNA) molecules are approximately 80 nucleotides in length. Their secondary structure includes four short double-helical elements and three loops (D, anti-codon, and T loops). The record is from RNAcentral. Lineage: Eukaryota; Fungi; Basidiomycota; Agaricomycetes; Boletales.
GGCAAGAUGGCCGAGCGGUCCAAGGCGUGUGACUCAAGCGAAAGCUUGCCUGACUUCAGGCUUCUCAUCUGGGUAUCCAGGCAGGGGUUCGAAUCCCCUUCUUGUCA